RNAcentral lists this ribosomal RNA (656 nucleotides) under [Xanthomonas campestris pv. citri] str. KV001. RNAcentral describes it as "bacterial SSU rRNA". It matches the Rfam family "Bacterial small subunit ribosomal RNA", at positions 801 to 1463 of the family's 1533-position model. The record is from RNAcentral. Lineage: Bacteria; Pseudomonadati; Pseudomonadota; Gammaproteobacteria; Enterobacterales; Enterobacteriaceae.
UUACCGAUGUCGACUUGGAGGGUUGUGGCCUUGAAGGCGUGGCUCCGAGCUAACGCGUAAGUCGACGCUUGGGGAGUACGGCGCAAGGUUAAACUCAAAUGAAUUGACGGGGGCCCGCACAAGCGGUGGAGCAUGUGGUUUAAUUCGAUGCAACGCGAAGAACCUUACCUGGUCUUGACAUCCACAGAACUUGGCAGAGAUGCCUUGGUGCCUUCGGGAAACUGUGAGACAGGUGCUGCAUGGCUGUCGUCAGCUCGUGUUGUGAAAUGUUGGGUUAAGUCCCGCAACGAGCGCAACCCUUAUCCUUUGUUGCCAGCGGUUAGGCCGGGAACUCAAAGGAGACUGCCAGUGAUAAACUGGAGGAAGGUGGGGAUGACGUCAAGUCAUCAUGGCCCUUACGACCAGGGCUACACACGUGCUACAAUGGCGCAUACAAAGAGAAGCGAACUCGCGAGAGCAAGCGGACCUCAUAAAGUGCGUCGUAGUCCGGAUUGGAGUCUGCAACUCGACUCCAUGAAGUCGGAAUCGCUAGUAAUCGUGAAUCAGAAUGUCACGGUGAAUACGUUCCCGGGCCUUGUACACACCGCCCGUCACACCAUGGGAGUGGGUUGCAAAAGAAGUAGGUAGCUAACUCGGAGGGCGCUACCACCUUGUUU